This 259-nucleotide ribosomal RNA is filed under the name uncultured prokaryote. Its description in RNAcentral is "partial 16S ribosomal RNA". It matches the Rfam family "Bacterial small subunit ribosomal RNA", at positions 524 to 782 of the family's 1533-position model. The record is from RNAcentral.
UACGUAGGUGGCAAGCGUUGUCCGGAAUUAUUGGGCGUAAAGCGCGCGCAGGCGGUUUCUUAAGUCUGAUGUGAAAGCCCACGGCUCAACCGUGGAGGGUCAUUGGAAACUGGGAGACUUGAGUGCAGAAGAGGAGAGUGGAAUUCCACGUGUAGCGGUGAAAUGCGUAGAGAUGUGGAGGAACACCAGUGGCGAAGGCGGCUCUCUGGUCUAUAACUGACGCUGAGGCGCGAAAGCGUGGGGAGCGAACAGGAUUAGA